AGUGAACGCUGGCGGUAGGCCUAACACAUGCAAGUCGAACGGCAGCACAGUAAGAGCUUGCUCUUACGGGUGGCGAGUGGCGGACGGGUGAGGAAUACAUCGGAAUCUACUUUUUCGUGGGGGAUAACGUAGGGAAACUUACGCUAAUACCGCAUACGACCUACGGGUGAAAGCAGGGGAUCUUCGGACCUUGCGCGAUUGAAUGAGCCGAUGUCGGAUUAGCUAGUUGGCGGGGUAAAGGCCCACCAAGGCGACGAUCCGUAGCUGGUCUGAGAGGAUGAUCGGCCACACUGGAACUGAGACACGGUCCAGACUCCUACGGGAGGCAGCAGUAGGGAAUAUUGGGCAAUGGGCGCAAGCCUGAUCCAGCAAUACCGCGUGAGUGAAGAAGGCCUUCGGGUUGUAAAGCCCUUUUGUUGGGAAAGAAAAGCAGCGGGUUAAUACCCCGCUGUUCUGACGGUACCCAAAGAAUAAGCACCGGCUAACUUCGUG
RNAcentral lists this ribosomal RNA (492 nucleotides) under uncultured bacterium. Its description in RNAcentral is "partial 16S ribosomal RNA". It matches the Rfam family "Bacterial small subunit ribosomal RNA", at positions 29 to 507 of the family's 1533-position model. The record is from RNAcentral.